GGCCAAGCUACAAGGGUGUAUAGUGGAUGCCUUGGCGCCAGAAGUCUAUGAAGGACGUGAUAAGCUGCGAUAAGCCGCGGGGAGGAGCAAAUAUCCUUUGAUCCGCGGAUCUCCGAAUCGGGAAACCGUCUGGGGUAAACCCCCAGAAUCUUCAGGUAAAGUGGCGGCCGUCAGGCCGCAAGAUAGCCUGUUGAAGACAACCCAGGGAAGUGAAACAUCUCAGUACCUGGAGGAAAAGAAAUCAACGAGAUUCCGUCAGUAGUGGCGAGCGAACGCGGAAUAGUCUAAACCAUUCGGGCUUGCUCGAGUGGGGUUGCAGGGUCCGUCCGGUGCAGAACCGGGAAGUUAAAACCGUAAGCUAGCAGAACGCUCUGGAAAGUGCGGCCAUAGCGGGUGACAGCCCCGUAUGCGAAAGCGAAGCGGCUUCCGAUGGAUACCUAAGUACUGCUGGGCACGUGAAAUCCGGCAGGAAUCCGGGGAGACCACUCUCCAAGACUAAAUACUCUCUGGCGACCGAUAGUGAACAAGUACCGCGAGGGAAAGGCGAAAAGAACCCGUGACCGGGAGUGAAAUAGAACCUGAAACUGUACAUCUACAAGCUGUCGAAGAGCUAUGCCCGACCGCAAGGAAGGGAAUGCUCGACGGCGUGCCUGUUGAAGAAUGAUCCGGCGAGUUACCGGGACGAGCGAGGUUAAGUCGGAAGUAAACGACGGAGCCGUAGCGAAAGCAAGUCUGAAUAGGGCGAUUAGUUCGUCGUGGUAGACUCGAAGCCAAGUGAUCUUACCCUGACCAGGAUGAAGGUGAGGUAAAACUUACUGGAGGUCCGAAGUGUUGAACGUUGAAAAGUUCCUACAUGAGUUGGGGUAAGGGGUGAAAGGCUAAUCGAACUUGGUGAUAGCUAGUUCUCCCCGAAAUAUCUAUAGGGAUAGCGUCGUGUGUUAACCCGCGGGGGUAGAGCACUGAAUGAUGUAGGCUGAGCGACCCUCGGUCCGAAUUCAAUCAAACUCCGAAUACCGCGGCGGAUUACACGGCAGUCAGUUCGUGAGGGAUAAGCUUCACGUGCAAGAGGGGAACAGCCCAGACCGCCGAUCUAGGUCCCAAAGUACAUGCUAAGUGGCAAAGGAUGUGGGUUUACAUAAACAGCUAGGAGGUUGGCUUAGAAGCAGCCAUCCUUUAAAGAGUGCGUAACAGCUCACUAGUCUAGCGAACCUGCGCCGAAAAUGACACGGGGCUAAGCAUGUCACCGCAAUCGCGGAUUUACGAGAGCGCGAGCUUUCGUAAGUGGUAGGGGAGCGUUCUUGAUGCAGCGAAGGCGUACCGUAAGGAGCGCUGGAGCGUCAAGAAGUGAGGAUGCCGGAAUAAGUAGCGAUAAACAAGGUGAGAAUCCUUGUCGCCGAAAGCCUAAGGUUUCCUUGAGCAACGUUCGUCGGCUCAGGGUCAGUCGGUCCUAAGUCGAGGCCGAAAGGCGUAGAUGAAGGGCAUCAGGUUAAUAUUCCUGAACUAUGGUAGACGCGUCAUCACCCAAGGAGGGACGCAGAAGGGUAAGCAAUCCUGGUAAUGGUUGUCCAGGUCUAAAGUCGUAGGCGUGGUCCGGCAGGAAAAUCCACCGGGCCGUCAAGCCGAAAGCUGAACGCGACUGCGGGUAACACCGCGGGAAGUUGCCCAACCACGCUGCCUAGAAAAACUUCGUGGGGAGUUUCUAUCAUAUCCGUACCGUAAUCCGACACAGGUGGGCGAGCUGAAUAUGCUAAGGCGCGCGAGAUAACCUACGUUAAGGAACUAGGCAAACUGGUCCCGUAACUUCGGAAGAAGGGACGCCCCGGUAGCGACGUGAGAUUAAAAGCCCACGGCGUGAAAGGGCCGCAGUGAAAUGGGAAUCGUGACUGUUUAACAAAAACUUAGCUCUCUGCUGAAAUCGCAAGAUGACGUAUAGGGAGUGAUGCCUGCCCGGUGCUGGAAGGUCAAGGGGAGGAGUCAGCCGCAAGGCGAAGCUUCGAACUUAAGCCCCAGUAAACGGCGGCGGUAACUAUAACCGUCCUAAGGUAGCGAAAUUCCUUGUCGGGUAAGUUCCGACCUGCACGAAUGGCAUAACAAAGAUUCCGCUGUCUCAACGUAGGGCUCGGCGAAAUUGUGGUGCAAGUGAAGACGCUUGCUGCGCGUAUCUAGACGAAAAGACCCCGUGGAGCUUUACUGUAUCUUGUCAUUGGAUUACGGUUUUAAAUGCGUAGAAUAGGUGGGAGCCGGUGAUGUCAGGGUUUUGGCCCUGGCGGAGGCAACUGUGAAAUACCACCCUUUUGGAACUGUGAUUCUAACCUCGAGCCGUCAUCCGGCAGAGGGACAUUGGCAGGUGGGCAGUUUGACUGGGGCGGUCGCCUCCUAAAGAGUAACGGAGGCGUACCAAGGUUCCCUCAGGGCGAAUAGAAAUCGCCUGUCGAGCGCAAUGGUAGAAGGGAGCUUGACUGCGAGGCCGACGGGCCGAGCAGGUACGAAAGUAGGUCAUAGUGAUCCGGUGGUACCUCGUGGGAGGGCCAUCGCUCAACGGAUAAAAGCUACCCCGGGGAUAACAGGCUGAUCGGGUCCAAGAGUCCACAUCGACGACCCGGUUUGGCACCUCGAUGUCGGCUCAUCGCAUCCUCCCGCUGAAGCAGGUGGGAAGGGUUGGGCUGUUCGCCCAUUAAAGCGGUACGUGAGCUGGGUUCAGUACGUCGUGAGACAGUACGGUCUCUAUCUGAUAUGCGCGCAGGAAACUUGAGGGGAGCUGACCACAGUACGAGAGGACCUGGUUGGACGAACCUCCCGUAUACCAGCUGUCGUGCCAACGGCAUAAGCUGGGUAGCGGUGUUCGGUAGGGAUAAACGCUGAAAGCAUCUAAGCGUGAAACCCGCCCCAAGAUAAGGUUUCCCUGGACGUAAGUCCCAGAAGGCCCCCGGAAGACUACCGGGUUGAUAGGCUGGGUGUGUAAGCAUAGUAAUAUGUUGAGCUAACCAGUACUAAUCGGCCGUGCGGCUUGGCCUU
Molecule: ribosomal RNA, 3015 nt
Filed under: Elusimicrobiales bacterium
Lineage: Bacteria; Pseudomonadati; Elusimicrobiota; Elusimicrobia; Elusimicrobiales
Description: 23S ribosomal RNA
Rfam family: Bacterial large subunit ribosomal RNA
Source: RNAcentral